GGCAGGAGGGCAGGAGUUGCUCAGCAACAUGAUAAUAAUGAGAGGAAGACAAACAGUGCAAUGAUAUUUAAGUGGGCCAGAAGUCAUUUUGCAUUUCAUCCUGUAGCUCUUCAACUCUCCAGCUGUCUGUUCCUUCAGUUAUUAGCUGGUAAAAUCUUUUUUAAAAUGUUAAAUCGCGGUGUAACUGGAGCCGUUACUGAACCUGUCCAACCGCGGCUCUGGAGCAGACAGGUCCUGUCAGCUGAACCUGUCCACUGCACAGCAUAAAAUAUAAAGGGAAACAGUUUGCCAUUUACAGCGUUGUUAUUGUAACGAUGAAGACAGGCAAGAAAGAUGUGGGCACUCUUCAUGACCUUUCUGACGCUGUAGGAGUCCAUUCCCUGAGCAGUGCAAAUCCCACGGAUCCCACUCCAGACCUGCUUGCCUCUGCCCUAGCCUCAACUCCAGGUUCCCAGCUACCAGUCCAAACUUCCCCUGGCUUACAUCCCAUUUACCUUUCUUUACAAUAAAUGACCUUAUCAUA
Long non-coding RNA from Thunnus maccoyii (southern bluefin tuna), 523 nucleotides. RefSeq lists it as uncharacterized. The transcript has 3 exons. The record is from RefSeq and is a predicted model, not a curated record. NCBI's taxonomy places the organism in Eukaryota, Metazoa, Chordata, Actinopteri, Scombriformes, Scombridae.